This 214-nucleotide ribosomal RNA is filed under the name Beauveria bassiana. Its description in RNAcentral is "partial large subunit ribosomal RNA". Lineage: Eukaryota; Fungi; Ascomycota; Sordariomycetes; Hypocreales; Cordycipitaceae. The record is from RNAcentral.
GGUGUACUUUUGCAUAAUGGGUCAGCAAGUUAACAUUAGAUGCGAGAAAAUGUGGUAGUUAACACCAAACGUCAAGACUGGUCGUUUAGNUUUUACAUAUGGAUCAGGAUUAUAAAAGUCCGAACGGGUGAUUGUGGCAAAAAUCUCCGAAGAAUCGUGGUAGGUAUAGUGAAAGACAAUACUGACUAGGAUAGCUGGUUUUCUACGAAACAUA